AAAAGGAAACCUAUAACCCUUGAGAGCACAGAGAGCAAACUAAGGGCCGAGCCUCGUUAAAACCCUUUUAAGGCAAAACCUGGAAGAAAAAAACCUUAAAAGGGAAAAAGAGUACUCGUCUACGAAAAGAAGCUGCGGGGAACGGAAGUGAGACAGCUUCAGAGAUUCCGGCCGAACCAUCACCCCUAAGCAGCUCGGUUCCCGAACACAGCAAAACAAACCAAAAAAGAAAAAACAAAGACGAAGAAGACACAAAACUAACCAAAGAAAGCCCGACCGAAGACCCGGCAACAGCACGACAUCAACCACCUCCAAACUGCCCCAGCCACAACUAGUGAUGCCAUGCAAAACGUGCAAACGGAAGAAGGAGAUAACACUCCAAGAAGCGGCACAUCGACGACGAGAGCUACCGCCCCUCAAAUACGCUCGACGUGAAAUAGCAGAAAUACGCCGAUCACGGAGAUCCAAGAGGUCCGACCAGCCGACUCCCAGUGUCGAGCUCACCCGAACACUGAAAAAGGACGCCGCUGACACCCCUACCCAAACGCCAGCAAACACAACCCCAUCAAAGAAGAGACCCUCAACGAUCCACG
RNAcentral lists this long non-coding RNA (593 nucleotides) under Salvia miltiorrhiza (redroot sage). Its description in RNAcentral is "long non-coding RNA (SMIL_LNC003086)". The record is from RNAcentral. Lineage: Eukaryota; Viridiplantae; Streptophyta; Magnoliopsida; Lamiales; Lamiaceae.